Non-coding RNA from Phalacrocorax carbo (great cormorant), 3488 nucleotides. NCBI's taxonomy places the organism in Eukaryota, Metazoa, Chordata, Aves, Suliformes, Phalacrocoracidae. The record is from RefSeq and is a predicted model, not a curated record.
UUACAAAGAGAAAAACACCAUUUGUGUUUUCAGGUACCUCCUGCCUCUGCGGAUACGGUUUUGGGCUGUGUGAGAAGCGCCUCUUGCUGUUCCGUUGCUGCUCUCUAGACUUGACCAGUCAUGAAAUUAUGAAGUGCAGAAAAUAACAGUAAAUGGGUCCAUCUGCCUUGGAGAGCAGGAGUGGAAGAGGCUUGGCCUUACCCCCAGGUGGGAAGCAGCACACAGAGGAAGAGGCCGGCACAGCCAGGCUACAUGUCUGCACCAGCCAUGGCUACUUUGUGGACCUAGAAGGACGAUGAGAGCCGUGCCGCCAAAGUACAAUUGAUUUACACGUGCUGAGAGCAGCGCAGUUUGUGUAACACCGUUUACCUGCCCAAGGCUGUGUUAGAGGGAUGCGUAACGUAGUUCUAUACACGGUGAAAACGCACAUGGAUUUUACUUCACUCUCUGCGUUGGAGUAAAUUGAAGAAGAAUGAUUUCAGAGUGGAUCUGCCCUCCUGAAGAGGGGGGAGUUCAGCCUGAGCCUCAUCUGCUCAGCAGGGAGUGAGAGCGGCAGGAGCCAAGUGUGCCAUUAGUGCUCUGUGUGACACUGGUACUAGCCUGGCAUUUUACGCACUGGAGGGAUGUCAGUGCGGAUUAUACAGCAAAAUCAUCACCGCUGAUCUGCCUGGUAACAAAGCUGCUAUACCUCUAACGAUGCUAUUGAGAUGAGCCAACCUGAGGGAACCAAGUUAUCGGAGGAGGUCAACGAAGCAGCCCACGCAAGCCUGAGGUUUGAAGCGGGACAGGACCUGGUGCUGCAGAUAGUGGGAGCCCUCAGGUGUGCAGGCGAUGCAAGGAAAAGAGGUUAAAAGUCUGAUCAUAUGCCUGCUGUACACGGAAAAUCAUCAAGUGACUGCAGCAAACGCCUCUCAGAACACAAAGCAGCAUCAGGCAGGCAGCAGCUAAAAGAAGACCCCGCCAUGAGGGGAAGCAAACAGUGGGGCUGUGGUUUCCCACUGAUUUCCCCAGCCCUUAGCUGGUGGAGGGAGGAUUACUAAACCCUUCUGCUUUGCUCUGAAGUGCUACAAAUAGAACGGUAAAUCUAAAUAAUGAGGUGCCCGCUGUUCCCUUCAGUACGUGCUGCAGAUGACAAGCAGGGACCGAAAACCAAAAGGAAAACUAAGUAUAGCUGAAGGCUGUUGUACCCACCAUGGGGCUGACUCCUGAAUUGUGUUGAGGUAUAUACUUUGUACUUGUGUUGCACAUCCUGCAAUUGUGACUGCCUUGUGUUGUAAGUGAGGCCGAUUAUUCAUGCCAGGACGCUCUCUGCACCAGUGACCCCCCGUUAUAUGGCUCAGCGCCCACUCUGAUGAGCUACAGAAAAGGGAGGUUGUAUCCUGAGAUCAGAGCAGUGGUUCGCAAACUUUUCCCCAAAUUUCCCCCUCUUCUGCCUCCUAAGGAAGGUGGCAAGUACAAUGGCAUUGGACCACUUUCCCCAUGAUGGUCCCUAUGUUAUCAAGCCCAGCCCACAAGGAACCUUGGCUACAAAAAGCCUGAUGGAGGGUCUUCUGAAGGGGUCUACUCAUGCCUGCCCCUGAUAAAUGCUACCUCUGGUUUGAGAUUGCUUAUCACAGACUGGAAUUGGUUCAAAAGCUCCAAAACCUGCCUGUGAUUGUGAGCUCGAUAGUGAAUCUGAGAGCUGCUAGCUUUCAACUGCCAGCAAAGGCAGACUGGACAGGGAUUACGCCAAGGCUGAUGUUAUUUCUUGUGUGUUGGCCUACACUUGAGGCAAACUAUUGCUUUCCUUAUCUACUGCAAACACUUAAAACCCUCAAGUUGGGUUUCUGCAAGUAGAAACCUCAGAAAGAGGGUGAAUGCCUACAGAAACAUGCUGAGAGGUGAAAUUUAGGCACCAUCUCUAGGAUUGAUCAGAGCCAUAUAUGAGGCCAUUGAUGCCUCAUCCAAACUUCUGUUUAAUUUGCAUGUGGUGAAUACAUUGGAUGAGCUCAACUACCCGGGUCUGAAAGUAGCAUUUUUAAAAGGAGGUGUAACUAUUUGUAAGCAAGGGCUAGGUCUGAGCCACUUGCCAGUUUUAUUGCUUCAGUGGAUUAGAAUUAAAGGGUAGGGUCCUUUUUUCCCCAACAUAAGUAUUGAGCUAGAAAUUCAUGGCUACUUUCAGAAGUGAUCCAAGUCCUUCAUAUUCCACGUGGAAUCUAUUCAGAUGAACAAAAGUGUUUUCACUUGUGAGCAGUUAAAGGCUAAGAAGGGUUCUUCAGCAACGCACACAUACAUUCACAUUCUCUCGCCCUCUUGAUCAGGAUCCUCAGCUGCGAAUUCAAAGGCCUCUGGUCAAGGCUUUCCUCUCAUGUAUGUGUCUAAAGCACCAAUUUGCAAGUUUUUGGAGUGGAUGAGCCUCCAUUUAUUGAACCUGAUAAAACUUUGCUGAUAGAAAGCCGAUUUCUGAUUUAGACUUAACUCCUGUCUGCAUUAUCAAACAUAUUCCUGACCAUUCCUCCACACUCCUUAGGAUUUUCAGUUAAUUGCAUCAGUUAUUGGCAAUUGGUGAUCCUGUUAGCAGCAGUUCCCAGAGUCCCAGCCAAAGCGAAUGUGAUGGCAGGUCACGAUCUCAGCAUGCUGAAUCAUUUUUGAAGGGGGACCUGACACUUUCAAAAGAGGCUUAAGCUACUUGCCAUUUCUCUGGGGUAAUUCCUACAUAUCACCUGGCAUACCUGGGCUGAGUACAUCUACUCUGGCUAAUGCUUCCUGAAAUGACAGAUUUCAGAAUAAUUCUGUGUUAUAUAUUUGGAUAGCUGCUUCACAGGCUGCUUGUCUUUGAGAAAUGAUAAUGAAAAGCAAAUGAUUAAAAAAAUGAGAAAAAAGAAAGAGGUUAAUGGUGCUGGAAUGAAAUGGGAACACAUGUCUAAGUGAAGAUUUUAGUGUUUUGGGGCUCUGGUUUGAAGUAGAGCUGAUUGCCAAAGUAACUGGAUAACAUAAAUUUUCUUUAAAUUUCUUUGCAAUUUUGCAGCUAAUACAACUCCAGUGAAAGUUCCUAAUGUUAUUUUUCCUCUUAACCUAAUUAACAAACUGAAAAUUUAUGCAGUCCUAAACGGAAUUACUUUCUCCUAAGCACUGCAGAGGGAGUUAUUUCUCAGGUACCUAUUAAAGCAUGGCUGUCAAUGCUAAUGCUUCACUCCAGCUACAAUACCUGAAUGCUCUUCACGGGAAUAAUACAUCGAAACGGCUCUGUCUGAGGCCAUGUUCCCUUAUGAUGCAAACUGCUAACUUUAACUGAAGAGAGUAUUGCCCCACCUCCAUUGUUAUUGUUUUAGAUGCUGGAGUUGUUAAUUUUAGCAUAUUUACCUGCUGAACAUUUAGAAAAGCCUGGAUAUGGAUCAAAAAGCUGUUACAUUUUAAAGAAGAAUUGAAAAACCCCAAACCCCUUAGUCUUAAUUCCAUAAAAGUCUUCAAGAACUCUUGAUUAAAUUAUUAAAACAGAAAACAAAUUG